UCAAGUAAGAUAUAGUAGUAGCAGAGC
RNAcentral lists this non-coding RNA (27 nucleotides) under Mus musculus (house mouse). The record is from RNAcentral. Lineage: Eukaryota; Metazoa; Chordata; Mammalia; Rodentia; Muridae.